GACGAACGCUGGCGGCGUGCUUAACACAUGCAAGUCGAACGGAAAGGCCCUGCUUUUGUGGGGUGCUCGAGUGGCGAACGGGUGAGUAACACGUGAGUAACCUGCCAUUGACUUUGGGAUAACUUCAGGAAAAUGGGGCUAAUACCGGAUAGGAGUUACUGCUGCAUGGUGGGGGUUGGAAAGUUUCGGCGGUUGGGGAUGGACUGGCGGCUUAUCGGCUUGUUGGUGGGGUGGUGGCUUAGCAAGGCCUUGAAGGGUGGCCGGCCUGAGAGGGUGACCGGCCACAUUGGGAUUGAGAUACGGCCCAGCCCCCUACGGGAGGCAGCGGUGGGGAAUAUUGUAUAAUGGGCGGAGGCAUGAUGCAGCAACGCCGCGUGGGGUAUGACGGCCUUCGGGUUGUAAACCGCUUUCGCCUGUGACGAAGCGUGAGUGACGGUAAUGGGUAAAGAAGCACCGGCUAACUACGUG
Molecule: ribosomal RNA, 468 nt
Filed under: uncultured bacterium
Lineage: Bacteria
Description: partial 16S ribosomal RNA
Rfam family: Bacterial small subunit ribosomal RNA
Source: RNAcentral